AUGUUAUGGAAACCACCGCUCGAAAAUGGGACCGCUUUUCAAAAGAAAAGAAAGACGCUGAAUUGUUUACAACCCCCUCCACAAAAAAAUGUGCGAAGAACUGUUCCCAACUGUUCCAACCCUUUCCCAACUGUUCCAAAACUUCAGCAAGCAGGCAUCCCCUCGCGAGACCGCACGACGUCUGGACCGCUCUUCAUCAUCAUCACGUCAGAUCUCAAGCAGCCCAGUGAGGGGUUGGCUCUCCGCUUCCAGCCACAGAGAUGCACUCCACUCUGUCAUCAGACUGGUCCCCCCGCAGCCAGAACUGUCAACACUCGUUGUUGGGCUGUCCAACACACACAUCAGCGGAUAUGGCGGUCCACUCACCCAAGACUCGAGCAAUGGAUCGGAUGGAUGGAAAAUAUGUACAAACCACGGGUCCUGGGCAAUCUAGCACAAUGA
RNAcentral lists this long non-coding RNA (441 nucleotides) under Gadus morhua (Atlantic cod). RNAcentral's name for it is "lncRNA (ENSGMOG00000032140.1)". The record is from RNAcentral. Lineage: Eukaryota; Metazoa; Chordata; Actinopteri; Gadiformes; Gadidae.